UGCUUUGUGGCUUAGAUGAUUAAAGCGCCGGGUUAGCGAUACGGAGUCGUGGAUUCAAAUCCCACCAAAACAA
Molecule: non-coding RNA, 73 nt
Organism: Aedes albopictus (Asian tiger mosquito)
Lineage: Eukaryota; Metazoa; Arthropoda; Insecta; Diptera; Culicidae
Source: Rfam